UGGGGAUUUUGGACAAUGGGCGCAAGCCUGAUCCAGCCAUGCCGCGUGCGGGAAGAAGGCCUUCGGGUUGUAAACCGCUUUUGUCAGGGAAGAAAUCUUCUGAGUUAAUACCUCGGGAGGAUGACGGUACCUGAAGAAUAAGCACCGGCUAACUACGUGCCAGCAGCCGCGGUAAUACGUAGGGUGCAAGCGUUAAUCGGAAUUACUGGGCGUAAAGCGUGCGCAGGCGGUUUUGUAAGACAGAGGUGAAAUCCCCGGGCUCAACCUGGGAACUGCCUUUGUGACUGCAAGGCUUGAGUGCGGCAGAGGGGGAUGGAAUUCCGCGUGUAGCAGUGAAAUGCGUAGAUAUGCGGAGGAACACCGAUGGCGAAGGCAAUCCCCUGGGCCUGCACUGACGCUCAUGCACGAAAGCGUGGGGAGCAAACAGGAUUAGAUACCCUGGUAGUCCACGCCCUAAACGAUGUCAACUGGUUGUUGGGAAGGUUCCUUCUCAGUAACGUAGCUAACGCGUGAAGUUGACCGCCUGGGGAGUACGGCCGCAAGGUUGAAACUUAAAUGAAUUGACGGGGU
This 570-nucleotide ribosomal RNA is filed under the name uncultured bacterium. RNAcentral's name for it is "partial 16S ribosomal RNA". It matches the Rfam family "Bacterial small subunit ribosomal RNA", at positions 356 to 919 of the family's 1533-position model. The record is from RNAcentral.